GACGAACGCUGGCGGCGUGCCUAAUACAUGCAAGUCGAACGGUCUUUUCUAUGGAAGCUUGCUUUCCGCUGAGAAGAUAAGUGGCGAACGGGUGAGUAACACGUGGGUAACCUGCCCAUAAGAGGGGGAUAACGAUCCGGAAACGGGUGCUAAUACCGGCAUAUGACCGGAAGGUGAAACGGAGUGAUCCGACCCGAUGAGGUGCUCAUGUCCUAUUC
Molecule: ribosomal RNA, 218 nt
Filed under: uncultured bacterium
Lineage: Bacteria
Description: partial 16S ribosomal RNA
Rfam family: Bacterial small subunit ribosomal RNA
Source: RNAcentral